Molecule: long non-coding RNA, 908 nt
Organism: Centruroides sculpturatus (bark scorpion)
Lineage: Eukaryota; Metazoa; Arthropoda; Arachnida; Scorpiones; Buthidae
Exons: 3
Source: RefSeq, a predicted model, not a curated record
GUUCAUUGGCCUGUGAAACUGGCAAUAAAUCGAGUAUGGCGAUAAACUGAAAGACAUCAAGAUUUAUGGGGGAAGUCUGUUCACGAAUAAGCCUAUUCACAGGCGCUAUUUAGGAGUGCUGUAGCCUAUGUAGAGGUUUUGACCUAUGAACACGCAAAAUUAUUAAAAUAAGUUUACGAAUAUUUCACUUUCUGCUUAAUAUAAAUUAGAAUAAUAUGACCGCCAUUUUAUCUAGUUACAAGUCGAUCAAUCUUGUAUUUCCUAUUAAUUUUUCGAACUUAUCAUUUAAAUCAAUUAUUUUAUGGUGAGAUUUGAUUUAAAUGAUUACUUCGUUAGAAGAGUAAGAAGAAUUCGAAGAUUUACUAAGAAGAUAUUCACUAAUCAAUCUUCUAAAUUGUCAUAGAAGUAUAUUUGAAGGCAUAGCUUAAAAGAAAAAGUAUAUGUAUUUAUUUACAAAAUUAAUAAAUUCGCCAUCAGUCAUCGACCGCUCGAAGAAGAGGAUUUUGAUGACAAAAUAGAAUGUUUAUCCAUCAUCUGUGUGUAUUUUGCAUCCGUAAAUCGAUUCUGUCAUAAAUCUUCAACAGGAAAAUAUAAGAAAAGCCCGAAGACAAAGUUUCUAUUGCUGUUUACGUUCAAAAAUAAAACAAGAUGAAACAAAUAUUUGGAUUUUACAACAAAUCAAACGUAACUGCCUCUGCGUAGAGACGGUUGAUUGCCUGCUUUUGAAAGAGUACAACUGUUACAGAAGGCCAUUCAACCGUUAUAGAGAUUUUUAUAUCGUAGCUAUAGCUAUGUCAUCACCAGAAACCAUACAACAGCUCGAUAAAAAUGGCUGAAAGAACAAUACUUGUAAAUAUUAUAGGAUGGAUUAGAAAAUUCCUACUCUAAAUUCUGUAAAACCAGUAAAG